This 433-nucleotide ribosomal RNA is filed under the name uncultured Pseudobutyrivibrio sp. RNAcentral describes it as "partial 16S ribosomal RNA". It matches the Rfam family "Bacterial small subunit ribosomal RNA", at positions 341 to 792 of the family's 1533-position model. Lineage: Bacteria; Bacillati; Bacillota; Clostridia; Lachnospirales; Lachnospiraceae. The record is from RNAcentral.
ACGGAAGGCAGCAGUGGGGAAUAUUGCACGAUGGGCGAAAGCCUGAUGUAGCGACGCCGCGUGAGCGAAGAAGUAUUUCGGUAUGUAAAGCUCUAUCAGCAGGGAAGAUAAUGACGGUACCUGACUAAGAAGCACCGGCUAAAUACGUGCCAGCAGCCGCGGUAAUACGUAUGGUGCAAGCGUUAUCCGGAUUUACUGGGUGUAAGGGAGCGUAGGCGGUAUGCUAAGUCUGAUGUGAAAGCCCGAGGCUCAACCUCGGUACUGCAUUGGAAACUGGUAAACUAGAGUGUCGGAGGGGUAAGUGGAAUUCCUAGUGUAGCGGUGAAAUGCGUAGAUAUUAGGAGGAACACCAGUGGCGAAGGCGGCUUACUGGACGAUAACUGACGCUGAGGCUCGAAAGCGUGGGGAGCAAACAGGAUUAGAUACCCUGGUA